Molecule: non-coding RNA, 21 nt
Filed under: Caenorhabditis elegans
Lineage: Eukaryota; Metazoa; Nematoda; Chromadorea; Rhabditida; Rhabditidae
Source: RNAcentral
UUAUUGAGAAAUAUAGGAACU